Molecule: long non-coding RNA, 1027 nt
Organism: Quercus robur (English oak)
Lineage: Eukaryota; Viridiplantae; Streptophyta; Magnoliopsida; Fagales; Fagaceae
Exons: 2
Source: RefSeq, a predicted model, not a curated record
GGUCGGGGUGGGGGAGAAAGCAAAGAGAGAAAGCAGCAGAGGAAAAUUAAGUUACGGUGGAAAGCAUGGUGUUGGUUGUCAUUUAGAGAAUUUGGAGGCAAAAAGUGGGCACUGUCCUUUUGAAGAUAAGAUAGCUGAUGUUACUUUUCACAUCAUUAGAAGAAGACAUUAAAAGAUUGUCUUGUUUUUGGCUCAGUAUUUUUGUGGGACUUAGAUGUUUUUCACACCUUCCUUGGUUCAUACCUUCAACCUAAAUUCUCAGCUGCCUGCCUGGUAUCUUGGGCAAAGGGUGAAAGCCUGAUCUAGCAAUAUCCAGUGAGUGCGGAAGGGCAAUGCAGCUUGGAGGGAAAAAAUUCCAAAUCUUAGCAAAAGUUACUCAAACUACUAUUUCCUUUACAUAAAUUGAGUGAAAAAGGUAAAUUUUAACUCUCUUAUCAUAAGAGAUUGGAAGGCGUUUUUUUCCCUAACUGGCCGUUAGGAUCAAAUAAAGUACCUUUUGAGCACUUGACCCCUUGUUUAGGUGAUAAAUUUCAUGGUUGCUCUUUAGGCAAUCCCAGGAUUAUUGCAGCUGGUGAAACUUCUAGAAGUCUUGAAGGUGAUGCAAUUCAUGCUUUUGUCAUCCAAAGGUGAAGGAUUUCCAUUGAAGUCAAGCUGUCAAAGGUAUUUCAAGAAGGGCUCUUGCAAUAGUGAGAAGCUGUUGAUAUCUUAAAACACGCCCAUGAAUUGCUAUCCAAAGACCUUUCAAUAGACUCAUUCAGUCUUAUAAUGCAUGAGAUGCAAGAGAACUUAUCUUGUGUCAUUUUCUAGUCAACUUGCUUCUCAGGUAUGGAAUUUCUUCCUCUCAUUCUCUUCAAACAUAUUUUGUGUGUUACUGAAGCUUUGUGUUGAACUUGGAAUGUUUUGUUCAUUCUGUAUAUUUCCAAUUUACCGUGGAUGGGUUUUGGAUAAAGCAAGAAACUUCUUAGUCUUUUCCAUGUCAACUGUUAUCUUAUUGAUCCCUAAGAAUAUAAAUAGAUGGGAUAGACGA